CGGUCAAUGUUGCAGAAGCCCGCCCAACAACUUCCGGAAGCUUUCUUUAAAUUAAGGCCACGCGCCCGUUUCGGCCUCUUAGCAACGGGGAGAUCUUUAAGGUCUGCCCUGCGCAGAACAGCAGACAGCGUGGACUUCAACCUUUCCCCAAGCUUCUGAAUAAAGUGUUUCAACAACA
This is a long non-coding RNA of Grammomys surdaster, 178 nucleotides long. RefSeq lists it as uncharacterized. NCBI's taxonomy places the organism in Eukaryota, Metazoa, Chordata, Mammalia, Rodentia, Muridae. The record is from RefSeq and is a predicted model, not a curated record. The transcript is spliced from 2 exons.